CACUGCCGAGAAAAGCCUCUAGAUAGAAAAUAGGUGCCCGUACCGCAAACCGACACAGGUAGUCAAGAUGAGAAUUCUAAGGUGAGCGAGCGAACUCUCGUUAAGGAACUCGGCAAAAUGACCCCGUAACUUCGGGAGAAGGGGUGCUCUUUAGGGUUAACGCCCAGAAGAGCCGCAGUGAAUAGGCCCAAGCGACUGUUUAUCAAAAACACAGGUCUCUGCUAAACCGUAAGGUGAUGUAUAGGGGCUGACGCCUGCCCGGUGCUGGAAGGUUAAGAGGAGUGGUUAGCUUCUGCGAAGCUACGAAUCGAAGCCCCAGUAAACGGCGGCCGUAACUAUAACGGUCCUAAGGUAGCGAAAUUCCUUGUCGGGUAAGUUCCGACCCGCACGAAAGGCGUAACGAUUUGGGCACUGUCUCAACGAGAGACUCGGUGAAAUCAUAGUACCUGUGAAGAUGCAGGUUACCCGCGACAGGACGGAAAGACCCCGUGGAGCUUUACUGUAGCCUGAUAUUGAAAUUCGGCACAGCUUGUACAGGAUAGGUAGGAGCCUUUGAAACGUGAGCGCUAGCUUACGUGGAGGCGCUGGUGGGAUACUACCCUAGCUGUGUUGGCUUUCUAACCCGCACCACUUAUCGUGGUGGGAGACAGUGUCAGGCGGGCAGUUUGACUGGGGCGGUCGCCUCCUAAAAGGUAACGGAGGCGCUCAAAGGUUCCCUCAGAAUGGUUGGAAAUCAUUCAUAGAGUGUAAAGGCAUAAGGGAGCUUGACUGCGAGACCUACAAGUCGAGCAGGGUCGAAAGACGGACUUAGUGAUCCGGUGGUUCCGCAUGGAAGGGCCAUCGCUCAACGGAUAAAAGCUACCCCGGGGAUAACAGGCUUAUCUCCCCCAAGAGUUCACAUCG
This 903-nucleotide ribosomal RNA is filed under the name Staphylococcus aureus. RNAcentral describes it as "partial 23S ribosomal RNA". It matches the Rfam family "Bacterial large subunit ribosomal RNA", at positions 1603 to 2507 of the family's 2925-position model. The record is from RNAcentral. Lineage: Bacteria; Bacillati; Bacillota; Bacilli; Caryophanales; Staphylococcaceae.